CCUACGGGAGGCAGCAGUAGGGAAUCUUCGGCAAUGGGGGCAACCCUGACCGAGCAACGCAGCGUGAGGGAAGAAGGUUUUCGGAUCGUAAAGCUCUGUUGUAAGAGAAGAACGAGUGUGAGCGUGGAAAGUUCACGCAGUGACGGUAACUUACCAGAAAGGGAAGGCCAACCACGUGCCCGCAGCCGCGGGAAGACGUCGGUCCCGAGCGUUAUCCGGAUUUAUUGGGCGGAAGGCGAGCGCAGUCGGUUGUAUAAGGCUGAAGUUAAAGGCUGUGGCUCAACCAUAGUAUGCUUUUGAAACUGUUCAACUUGAGUGCAGAAGGGGAGAGUGGAAUUCCAUGUGUAGCGGUGAAAUGCGUAGAUAUAUGGAAGAACACCGGUGGCGAAGGCAGCUCUCUGGUCUGUAACUGACGCUGAGGCUCGAAAGCGUGGGUAGCGAACAGGAUUAGAUACCCGAGUAGUC
This 465-nucleotide ribosomal RNA is filed under the name uncultured bacterium. Its description in RNAcentral is "partial 16S ribosomal RNA". It matches the Rfam family "Bacterial small subunit ribosomal RNA", at positions 338 to 795 of the family's 1533-position model. The record is from RNAcentral.